UACGAAGGGUGCAAGCGUUAAUCGGAAUUACUGGGCGUAAAGCGCGCGUAGGUGGUUCAGUAAGUUGGAAGUGAAAUCCCCGGGCUCAACCUGGGAACUGCUUUCAAAACUACUGAGCUAGAGUACGGUAGAGGGUGGUGGAAUUUCCUGUGUAGCGGUGAAAUGCGUAGAUAUAGGAAGGAACACCAGUGGCGAAGGCGACCACCUGGACUGAUACUGACACUGAGGUGCGAAAGCGUGGGGAGCAAACAGG
RNAcentral lists this ribosomal RNA (253 nucleotides) under uncultured bacterium. RNAcentral's name for it is "partial 16S ribosomal RNA". It matches the Rfam family "Bacterial small subunit ribosomal RNA", at positions 524 to 776 of the family's 1533-position model. The record is from RNAcentral.